UGACUGACUUUGGGCAUGCCCUGUGCUCACCUGGCAGGUGAUGGCGUGGGCAGGAAGUGCACAGCCUGCCUUUACCUUACGUGAACACUGUUUCUGGGCAAUGGGCAAAGAACUGAAGAGGACAAGCUAGAAAAGGGCUCCUUGUCUGUCUCUAUAAACCUCGUGUGUGUACAUCUUAGCGAGCCCAUAGACAAAAAAGGCAAAGAAGCAGAGACCAAGAGGGAGCGCCUAAGAGGCACAGAAAAAGAAAGCCACAGAGACAGAGAGAUGGAGAGACAUACAGACAGCGGAGAGCCAAGGCACAGGGGAAGGGGCAGGCGGAGGCAAGCACUUCCUGGUGAACUCGGUCCCCUGUGUGAUUGGCUGCUCCUAGAGAACAGUUUCCCUGGCUGCAGUUGCUGUGCAACUGCUUCCUGCAAUUAACUGACUGUAUUGACUUUGUCUGCUUCUCCCCCUCCCUUAACCUCUUGUUUGCCGAGCCAUCUGAGGAGCCACACCUUCGACUGGAAGAGAGGUCAUUUCCAGAGCAUUGUAUGGGCCUAUGCACACAUACACAAGUAACCAAGACUUGACACAACCAGCCCGUCUCUGCAAUGAGAAGCGAAGAGGGAGAAAACUCAGGGAAGACACGGCUUUAGGUCCUUCAUAGCGGACACGUGUGCAUCUCAAAGUGCAAAGCCCCACUGGGAAACACCAGUUUGGGGAUCAUGAUUUUAUGUAGUGGUUACGGUUCUAAGGAUUGGAUCAAAUCAGCUCACCUGCUCCACCUUGCUCAUUUCUCUCAGCAAAUCCGAUGACUCAGAAGGAACCCUUCACCAACUGCCCAUUCCCGCAUGCCAACCCACAGAGCUACCUCCAAGCUUGCUCCACCCACCUUCUGUCACCACCUUCCCUUUUCUUGUCUCAAAAGUCAUCAUGAAAAUGUAAAUGUUGCCACAAUUUGUUGGAAAAAUAACAAAAUUACAGUAUGUGAAAGAGUAUCUUGAAAAUUGAA
Non-coding RNA from Macaca mulatta (Rhesus monkey), 994 nucleotides. NCBI's taxonomy places the organism in Eukaryota, Metazoa, Chordata, Mammalia, Primates, Cercopithecidae. The record is from RefSeq and is a predicted model, not a curated record.